This 422-nucleotide long non-coding RNA is filed under the name Triticum aestivum (bread wheat). RNAcentral's name for it is "long non-coding RNA (TAES_LNC000914)". The record is from RNAcentral. Lineage: Eukaryota; Viridiplantae; Streptophyta; Magnoliopsida; Poales; Poaceae.
UUUAAAUAAGCGGGGCCCAGUAGGGUGUGCUUGGAAAUAUUUGAGAAACCUGCAUGCACGUUCAUCUUCGCUGCAUGCAAAUCGGGCGGCAGCCGCUAUGCCAGCAGCUGUCAAGGCCUUGAUGAAUCACUAUUCACAUGCAGGUCCCCGACUCUUGCAUGCAGGUGCCUAGUUUUUGCAUGAAGGUCCCUGGGUCGCAUCAUUGGUUGAGGAAGUAUCUCUAGAGUUUUCGAACUGACAUUGCCCACCACCUCCUCCAAAUCACCCAAAUCACCUCCUCCAAAUCACCCAAAUCACCUCCUCCAAAUCACCCAAAUUUUCUUGUACAUGGUGACACACAUGUGCCAAACAUGUCUAUGAAAGAAAUUUUUGGAAAAAAUUAUUUUACAAUGCCCCCUUGAGGCAUAGACCGAUGUUUUCAG